RNAcentral lists this ribosomal RNA (1490 nucleotides) under uncultured bacterium. RNAcentral describes it as "bacterial SSU rRNA". It matches the Rfam family "Bacterial small subunit ribosomal RNA". The record is from RNAcentral.
AGAGUUUGAUCCUGGCUCAGAUUGAACGCUGGCGGAAUGCUUUACACAUGCAAGUCGAACGGCAGCAUAGAGAGCUUGCUCUCUGAUGGCGAGUGGCGAACGGGUGAGUAAUAUAUCGGAACGUACCUAGUAAUGGGGAACAACCAGCCGAAAGGUUGGCUAAUACCGCAUACGACCUACGGGUGAAAGCAGGGGAUCUUCGGACCUUGCGUUAUUAGAGCGGCCGAUAUCUGAUUAGGUAGUUGGUGGGGUAAAGGCCUACCAAGCCGACGAUCAGUAGCUGGUCUGAGAGGACGAUCAGCCACACUGGAACUGAGACACGGUCCAGACUCCUACGGGAGGCAGCAGUGGGGAAUUUUGGACAAUGGGGGCAACCCUGAUCCAGCCAUUCCGCGUGAGUGAAGAAGGCCUUCGGGUUGUAAAGCUCUUUCGCAAGAGAAGAAAUCUUACUAUCGAAUAAAUAGUAAGGAUGACGGUAUCUUGACAAGAAGCACCGGCUAACUACGUGCCAGCAGCCGCGGUAAUACGUAGGGUGCGAGCGUUAAUCGGAAUUACUGGGCGUAAAGCGUGCGCAGGCGGUUUUAUAAGUCAGAUGUGAAAUCCCCGAGCUCAACUUGGGAACUGCGUUUGAAACUGUAAGACUAGAGUGUGUCAGAGGGGGGUAGAAUUCCACGUGUAGCAGUGAAAUGCGUAGAUAUGUGGAGGAAUACCAAUGGCGAAGGCAGCCCCCUGGGAUAACACUGACGCUCAUGCACGAAAGCGUGGGGAGCAAACAGGAUUAGACACCUGGUAGUCACGCCCUAAACGAUGUCUACUAGUUGUUGGUGGAGUAAAAUCCAUGAGUAACGCAGCUAACGCGUGAAGUAGACCGCGUGGGGAGUACGGUCGCAAGAUUAAAACUCAAAGGAAUUGACGGGGGCCCGCACAAGCGGUGGAUUAUGUGGAUUAAUUCGAUGCAACGCGAAAAACCUUACCUGGCCUUGACAUGUACCGAAUUUAGCAGAGAUGCUUUAGUGCUCGUAAGAGAACGGUAACACAGGUGCUGCAUGGCUGUCGUCAGCUCGUGUCGUGAGAUGUUGGGUUAAGUCCCGCAACGAGCGCAACCCUCACUUUUAGUUGCCAUCAUUAAGUUGGGCACUCUGAAAGAACUGCCAGUGAUAAGCUGGAGGAAGGUGGGGAUGACGUCAAGUCCUCAUGGCCCUUACGUGUUGGGCUACACACGUGCUACAAUGGUAUCUACAACAGGAAGCAAGACUGCGAAGUUAAGCAAAUCCCUAAAAGAUACCUCAGUUCGGAUUGCACUCUGCAACUCGAGUGCAUGAAGCUGGAAUUACUAGUAAUCGUGGAUCAGCGUGCCACGGUGAAUGCGUUCCCGGGUCUCGUACACACCGCCCGUCACACCAUGGGAGUUGGUUCUACCUUAAGGCAAGGUUUCAAACCCUUGACCACGGUAUAGUCAGCGACUGGGGUGAAGUCGUAACAAGGUAACC